ACCCUGCACUUACAAGCUGUAGGAGCACAUUAUUUGUGUGACUGCGUACUUUUUGUAGAACGGGCCAACGAGUUACGUUGUGUAGCAAGGUUAAGCACUUAAGGUGUGGAGCCGUAGCGAAAGCGAGUCUUAAAUGGGCGUCCAGUUACCCGACGUAGACCCGAAACCAGGCGACCUAUCCAUGAGCAGGUUGAAGCGAAAGUAAAAUUUCGUGGAGGACCGAACCCACGUACGUUGAAAAGUGCGGGGAUGACUUGUGGAUAGCGGUGAAAUUCCAAUCGAGCCUGGAGAUAGCUGGUUCUCCCCGAAAUAGCUUUAGGGCUAGCCUCAAGCUUAGAGAAACGGAGGUAGAGCACUGAAUGUCCUAGGGGGUAUUGCACUUACCGAAGACUAUCAAACUCCGAAUGCCGUAUUCUUUUACUUGGGAGUCAGACUAUGGGUGAUAAGAUUCAUAGUCAAGAGGGCAACAGCCCAGAUCGUCAGCUAAGGUCCCUAAAUGUAAGUUAAGUGGUAAAGGAUGUGGAAUUGCACAGACAACCAGGAUGUUGGCUUAGAAGCAGCCACUCAUUUAAAGAGUGCGUAAUAGCUCACUGGUCGAGUGAUUCUGCGCCGAAAAUUUCCGGGGCUAAAACUUACUACCGAAGCUACGGCAUCAUUAUGAUGGGUAGGGGAGCUUUCUAUGUGGCUUGAAGCAUGACCGUAAGGACAUGUGGACUGCAUAGAAGUGAGAAUGUUGGCAUGAGUAGCGAGAUGUGGGUGAGAAUCCCACAGGCCGUAAACCCAAGGUUUCCAGGGGAAGGUUCGUCCGCCCUGGGUUAGUCAGGACCUAAGCCGAGGCCGAAAGGCGUAGGUGAUGGACAACAGGUUGAUAUUCCUGUACCACCAAUAACCGUUUGAGAAAUGGGAUGACACAGUAGGAUAAGCUAACCGCACUGUUGGUUAUGUGCGGGCAAGUAUUGAGGCAGUUCCGAUAGGCAAAUCCGUCGGAAUAAUGCUGGGGUACGAUGCGGAGCGAAAUUUAGUAGCGAAGUAGCUGAUUUCACACUGUCGAGAAAAGUCUCUAUCGAGGUUAAAGGUGCCUGUACCGCAAACCGACACAGGUGGGUGAGGAGAGUAUCCUAAGGCCAGCGAGAGAACUGUUGUUAAGGAACUCGGCAAAAUGACCCCGUAACUUAGGGAGAAGGGGUGCCUUCGAAAGAAGGCCGCAGAGAAUAGGCCCAAGCGACUGUUUACCAAAAACAUAGGUUUCUGCUAAGUCGCAAGACGAUGUAUAGGAGCUGACGCCUGCCCGGUGCUGGAAGGUUAAGGGGAUCUGUUAGAGCAAUCGAAGCAGUGAACUUAAGCCCCAGUAAACGGCGGCCGUAACUAUAACGGUCCUAAGGUAGCGAAAUUCCUUGUCGGGUAAGUUCCGACCCGCACGAAAGGCGUAACGAUCUGGGCGCUGUCUCAACAAGAGACUCGGUGAAAUCAUAGUACCUGUGAAGAUGCAGGUUACCCGCGACAGGACGGAAAGACCCCGUGGAGCUUUACUGUAGCUUGAUAUUGAGCACUGGUGGCACAUGUACAGGAUAGGUAGGAGACGAAGAAACCAGGACGCCAGUCUUGGUGGAGUCGCUGUUGGGAUACUACCCUUGUGUCACUGGGGUUCUAACCCGUGGCCCUUAUCGGGUCAGGGAACAGUGUCAGGUGGGCAGUUUGACUGGGGCGGUCGCCUCCCAAAGAGUAACGGAGGCGCCCAAAGGUUCCCUCAGAAUGGUUGGAAAUCAUUCGAAGAGUGUAAAGGCAGAAGGGAGCUUGACUGCGAGACCUACAAGUCGAGCAGGGACGAAAGUCGGGCUUAGUGAUCCGGCGGUACCGAAUGGAAGGGCCGUCGCUCAACGGAUAAAAGCUACCCCGGGGAUAACAGGCUGAUCUCCCCCAAGAGUUCACAUCGACGGGGAGGUUUGGCACCUCGAUGUCGGCUCAUCGCAUCCUGGGGCUG
RNAcentral lists this ribosomal RNA (1981 nucleotides) under human gut metagenome. RNAcentral's name for it is "bacterial LSU rRNA". It matches the Rfam family "Bacterial large subunit ribosomal RNA", at positions 555 to 2555 of the family's 2925-position model. The record is from RNAcentral.